CAAAGUAUUUCAAGAAACUGGAAAACAAAUAUCAAAUAAAUCCAACCCACUUCAAUAGGUCUGAACACAGUCUGUGGGCGAGCAGAAUGUCUAGCUGACGGCCCUCCACGCAGGAGUGUGAUGAUUUGUAACUAUGCAGCACAAAUAUGGCCAUCGGAGUCUGAUGUUUCUGCUUGGCUCUGCCUGAGGACUUGUCCUUCACCAGCCUCAUCCAACCUCAACACAACAUAGCAAUUCUUAAUUACUAUUAUAACACUUGUUUAAGGGGGGGGGGUAUUUUAAUUCAGCCAGAAGAACCAAUGUGGUGAGCUGAAAUAGGCUUCAUUAUUGCCCUUGUUUUCCUGGCAAGCAGAUCAGGUGAUAACAUGUGACAAGAUUAUAAGUGAGAGAUGCCUCUUAAUGUGGUACGUUCAAUGUCUGCAAUCCCCUUUGACUUUAAUUAAAAGGUACUGAGUGUAGGCAACACCGAAGUACAUUCCUCAAAUGUCUUCUUAGCUAAAUUACUCCUCUGGAACGUUUAAAUGGCCGGGCCCCAUUUGAAUUAGAACACUGACGGCACAAUCCGUAAAUUAAAUUUCUGCUACACCUGCUACGGCACAGCUUUGAUUAACAGGUUGUAGCAUAGAGGCUAUUACUUCAGCAUGAUUCAUUACACCUCCACCGCUAGUCCGUCAAUGAAUGCAUGCAUCGCACGGGUGUCUUCUUCUGGUUUUGCAGAUCUCGGGCAAGGAACUCCAGAUGCU
Oncorhynchus tshawytscha (Chinook salmon) is the source of this 743-nucleotide long non-coding RNA. Lineage: Eukaryota; Metazoa; Chordata; Actinopteri; Salmoniformes; Salmonidae. The record is from Ensembl.